CCAGGCCCUACGGGGCGCAGCAGUCGCGAAAACUUCACAAUGGAGGCAACUCCGAUGAGGGAAUUCCUAGUGCCAAUGCAUUUUGUGUUGGCUUUUCUUCAGCGUAGAUAACUGUUGGAAUAAGGGCUGGGUAAGACGGGUGCCAGCCGCCGCGGUAAUACCCGCAGCCCAAGUGGUGGUCGAUAUUAUUGAGUCUAAAACGUUCGUAGCCGGUUCAAUAAAUCUCUGGGUAAAUCGGAGGGCUUAACCUUCCGAAUUCCGGAGAGACUGUUGAACUUGGGACCGGGAGAGGCAAGAGGUACUUCUGGGGCAGGGGUAAAAUCCUGUAAUCCUAGAAGGACCACCGGUGGCGAAGGCGUCUUGCUAGAACGGAUCCGACGGUGAGGGACGAAGCCCUGGGUCGCAAACGGGAUUAGAUACCCCGGUAGUCCAGGGUGUAAACGCUGCAGACUUGGUGUUGGGAACCCUUCGGGGGUGCUCAGUGCCGGAGAGAAG
Molecule: ribosomal RNA, 495 nt
Filed under: uncultured archaeon
Lineage: Archaea
Description: bacterial SSU rRNA
Rfam family: Archaeal small subunit ribosomal RNA
Source: RNAcentral